This 224-nucleotide ribosomal RNA is filed under the name uncultured bacterium. Its description in RNAcentral is "partial 16S ribosomal RNA". It matches the Rfam family "Bacterial small subunit ribosomal RNA", at positions 126 to 334 of the family's 1533-position model. The record is from RNAcentral.
CUACCUUCGAAUCGGGGGUAACAUCGCGAAAGCGGUGCUAAUACCGGAUAAUAUCUAUAAGGCUACGGUCUGAUAGAUCAAAGGUGGCCUCUAUAUAUAAGCUACUGUUUGAAGAUGAGCCCGCGUACCAUUAGCUAGUUGGUGGGGUAAGAGCCCACCAAGGCGACGAUGGUUAGCUGGUCUGAGAGGAUGAUCAGCCACACUGGAACUGACACACGGUCCAG